GAUGAAGAACGUAGCGAAAUGCGAUACGUAAUGUGAAUUGCAGAUUUCAGUGAAUCAUCGAAUCUUUGAACGCACAUUGCGCCCGCCAGUAUUCUGGCGGGCAUGCCUGUCCGAGCGUCAUUUCAACCCUCGAACCCCUCCGGGGGGUCGGCGUUGGGGAUCGGCCCUGCCUCUUGGCGGUGGCCGUCUCCGAAAUACAGUAGCGGUCUCGCCGCAGCCUCUCCUGCGCAGUAGUUUGCACACUCGCAUCGGGAGCGCGGCGCGUCCACAGCCGUUAAACACCCAACUUCUGAAAUGUUGACCUCGGAUCAGGUAGGAAUACCCGCUGAACUUAAGCAUAUCAAUAAGCGGAGGA
RNAcentral lists this unclassified non-coding RNA (355 nucleotides) under soil metagenome. RNAcentral's name for it is "partial contains 5.8S ribosomal RNA, internal transcribed spacer 2, and large subunit ribosomal RNA". The stretch from base 1 to 120 matches the Rfam family "5.8S ribosomal RNA", at positions 35 to 154 of the family's 154-position model. The record is from RNAcentral.